This 20-nucleotide unclassified non-coding RNA is filed under the name Chlamydomonas reinhardtii. RNAcentral describes it as "small RNA Cre_1992". Lineage: Eukaryota; Viridiplantae; Chlorophyta; Chlorophyceae; Chlamydomonadales; Chlamydomonadaceae. The record is from RNAcentral.
GGUGUGUGGGUGGGUGUGCG